Molecule: small RNA, 2006 nt
Filed under: Arabidopsis thaliana (thale cress)
Lineage: Eukaryota; Viridiplantae; Streptophyta; Magnoliopsida; Brassicales; Brassicaceae
Description: ATSL059840
Source: RNAcentral
GCUUGGUGUGGCGUAAAUGGAUUUGAGUUUCUCCCAGAUCUCUGCAGCCGUGUUGGAUCUUGACAGGAGAGGUUGAAUGGUGGUCGUGAUUGUGCCAAGGAUAGCACUGUAAAUCAGCUUGUCUUGACGCUUCCAAAACUUGUAGGCGGGAUUAGCCGCAGAAACACCAGCAGUGGUGAUCAUUUCAGAUGGUGCGGUGACGGAUCCGUCGAUGUAGCCAGCAAGGUCGUAUCCAUCAAGCAAAGCGUGAACCUGACGGUUCCACAUGAUGUAAUUCGUGGGAGUGAGUUUUGUGAUGUUUGCCAUGUUGACAUUGAGAAGGGUUGGUGUUUCAGAGAAAGCAAUUGUUUCUGUGGAUCCCGACGGUGUGGAAGUCAUCGUGAAAAAUGAAACAGACUUGAAGAAGAGUGUAUGAAGAAGAGGCGGCGUUAAAAAAAAAAGUUUAGGUCUGAGAGUCGUAAUGCUCUGAUACCAUAUAGAGUGUGAAGCUUAAUUAUCAUUAGAGGUUGUGAUUACAAUAUAUAUACACGAGAGAUUAGGGUAAUACUAAUUACAAUUAUACCCUAACUAUACAUAACCUCUAUAGGAUAUGCCUAAAAAAAAAUGAAAACCUAUAUAUAGGGGUGUCAAAAUGGGUAACCCAACUCAACUCAACUCAUAAUCAAAUGAGUUUAGGGUUAAAUGAGUUAUGGGUUGAUCCAACCCAUUUAACAAAAUGAGUUGGGUCAACCCAUAACUCAUUUAAUUUGAUGGGUUGAGUUGUUAAAUGGAUUAACCUAUUGAAGUAAUAAUUUAAUUAAUUAUUAUUAUAAAACAAUAAUAAAUAAUUAUCAUUAUUAAUUCAUUAUCAUCAAACUUAUGAUAUUUACGGAUUCCACUUUUUACGGAUUUACGUUUUUGACGAUAAAAUCAUGGGUUUACGUUUUUGGCGGAAAAAUUACGGAUUUACAUUUCUGGCGGGAAAAUAACGGGUUUACGUUUUUGGGGAGAAAAUCACGGGUUUACGUUUUUGGCGGGAAAAUUACAGAUUUACGUUUUUGGCGGGAAAAUUACAUAUUUACGUUUCUGGCGGGAAAAUUACGGGUUUAAGGUUUUGGCGGGAAAUCUCGGGUUUACGUUUUUGGCGGGAAAAUCACGGAUUUACGUUUUUGGCGGGAAAAUAACGGAUUUACGUUUUUGGCGGGAAAAUCACGGGUUUACGUUUUUGGCCGGAAAAUCACGGGUUUUCGUUUUUUGGCGUGAAAAUUACGAGUUUUACAUUUUUGGCGGGAAAAUUACGAGUUUACGUUUUUUGGCGGGAAAAUUACGAGUUUACGUUUUUGGCGGGAAAAUCACGGGAUUUACAUUUUUGGCUGGAAAAUUACGGGUUUACGUUUUUGGCGGGAAAAUCACGGGUUUACGUUUUUGGCGGGAAAAUUAUGGAUUUACGUUUUUGGCGGGAAAAUCUCGGGUUUACGUUUUUGGCGGGAAAAUCUUGGGUUUUCGUUUUUUGCGAGAAAAUAACGGGUUUACGUUUUUAGCGGGAAAAUCACGGAUUUAUGUUUUUUGGUGGAAAAAUUACGAGUUUACUUUUUCUCAAUUUCAUCGCUUGUAUAUUUAAGAAAUUUGGAAAAAUAUUAAUUUUAUUAAAUUGGUUUAGAUGUGUUGGUUAAACUUAAAUUGGUAUUGGUUUUGAGAUUUUAGUUGGUUUUAUUCAAUUUUACAAAAUUUGAUGGGUUAAUUGGGUAAACCAUUGAAACCAUUAACCAUUACAACCCAACUUAUUUUACUCAUCAAACCAAUUGACUCAUCAACUCAUUUGACCCAUCAACUCAUUUGAGUCAAAAUUUUCAACUCAUUAGGGUUCAUUAGUUGAGUUGACCCAUGAAUUUUGACCCAUUUUAACACCCCUACUUAUAUACAAUCUGGUUUUGUCUAUUUAUAUAGACUAAAUAUGAAAGGGCUGAGAAUAAUUAUGAUCUAAACUCUAAUAAAGAUAGCUGGGCAUGCGACUAAACUAGGGUAUU